CUUUCACCGGAGCUUGCUCCACCGAAAGAAAAAGAGUGGCGAACGGGUGAGUAACACGUGGGUAACCUGCCCAUCAGAAGGGGAUAACACUUGGAAACAGGUGCUAAUACCGUAUAACACUAUUUUCCGCAUGGAAGAAAGUUGAAAGGCGCUUUUGCGUCACUGAUGGAUGGACCCGCGGUGCAUUAGCUAGUUGGUGAGGUAACGGCUCACCAAGGCCACGAUGCAUAGCCGACCUGAGAGGGUGAUCGGCCACACUGGGACUGAGACACGGCCCAGACUCCUACGGGAGGCAGCAGUAGGGAAUCUUCGGCAAUGGACGAAAGUCUGACCGAGCAACGCCGCGUGAGUGAAGAAGGUUUUCGGAUCGUAAAACUCUGUUGUUAGAGAAGAACAAGGAUGAGAGUAGAACGUUCAUCCCUUGACGGUAUCUAACCAGAAAGCCACGGCUAACUACGUGCCAGCAGCCGCGGUAAUACGUAGGUGGCAAGCGUUGUCCGGAUUUAUUGGGCGUAAAGCGAGCGCAGGCGGUUUCUUAAGUCUGAUGUGAAAGCCCCCGGCUCAACCGGGGAGGGUCAUUGGAAACUGGGAGACUUGAGUGCAGAAGAGGAGAGUGGAAUUCCAUGUGUAGCGGUGAAAUGCGUAGAUAUAUGGAGGAACACCAGUGGCGAAGGCGGCUCUCUGGUCUGUAACUGACGCUGAGGCUCGAAAGCGUGGGGAGCGAACAGGAUUAGAUACCCUGGUAGUCCACGCCGUAAACGAUGAGUGCUAAGUGUUGGAGGGUUUCCGCCCUUCAGUGCUGCAGCAAACGCAUUAAGCACUCCGCCUGGGGAGUACGACCGCAAGGUUGAAACUCAAAGGAAUUGACGGGGGGCCCGCACAAGCGGUGG
Molecule: ribosomal RNA, 890 nt
Filed under: Enterococcus sp. MRSA94B1_13_2E
Lineage: Bacteria; Bacillati; Bacillota; Bacilli; Lactobacillales; Enterococcaceae
Description: bacterial SSU rRNA
Rfam family: Bacterial small subunit ribosomal RNA
Source: RNAcentral